RNAcentral lists this long non-coding RNA (429 nucleotides) under Meleagris gallopavo (turkey). RNAcentral's name for it is "lncRNA (ENSMGAG00000019452.1)". The record is from RNAcentral. Lineage: Eukaryota; Metazoa; Chordata; Aves; Galliformes; Phasianidae.
CAUACAGAGCACAAUUUGCAAGUGAAGCAGGGGGAGGCAGUGCCCAAACAAGAUUCCCCUUUCUUUAUAUUCGCAAUAGGUAUAUUUAUUACCACUCUGUUUGUUUGUUUGUUUUCUGAGAUUUUCUGAAAUAUCUAGGAGAGCAUCAGGUGGGUUGCAGUCCUAAGAUCAUUGCUCCGUGAGUGCUUUCUGCAUUGCACAUCCACCAGUAAUCCAUGGAAGGACAGUUCUGAAUAUGCCCAUAGCCUGGGCAAGGGAAGGCAUGGAUGGCACCAUGACAGUGCCAACAGCUCUUUGAACAGCAACAAAUUGGUCACACAAGUGAUGCCUAAACUUCAGGCCUCCGUGUCAAGAGCCAUGGACACUUUGCUCUUGAAAGAACCUGAUUUUGCAGGAUGUUCCGGUCUGAAUUUGUCGAGUCUACGUUAG